This 416-nucleotide long non-coding RNA is filed under the name Calidris pygmaea (Spoon-billed sandpiper). RNAcentral describes it as "lncRNA (ENSCPGG00000005195.1)". Lineage: Eukaryota; Metazoa; Chordata; Aves; Charadriiformes; Scolopacidae. The record is from RNAcentral.
GUAGCUUUUGAAAUACCUGAGAAAUAGGAACGGCCUUUGAACUUUCUCAAAUGAAUUAAGCUCUGGAGAAGAAGUAGUUUCUGGAGGUCUGUACCAUAAUGACCGAUAUGCCCAAGUGUGUACAGACCAAAGAGGUGGUACUUCCAUCAAGCAACCAAAUUUGAGACUGAGAUGCCUUCACAGAUUUUUACUCACUGGCUUCUAGAAGGGAUUCUUUGAUGGAGGAGAAGAGCAUCUCAGAAGGUGGAGGUUGAAUACAGGCAUGUAGAAUUUGGGAGUUCAGUCCCCAGUACAGCCAUACAGAGGGUCCAGGGAGCAGCUUAUGGAUGGAAAACUGAGAAUGGUACUUUGACUGCUCUGAUUUGUUUCAUCAAGCAAAUCAACCUGUUCCCAAACUUGUAUGUAUAGGAAAAUUG